UACGAAGGGGGCUAGCGUUGUUCGGAAUUAUUGGGCGUAAAGGGCGCGUAGGCGGUUUGACAAGUCUGAUGUGAAAUCUAUGGGCUCAACCCAUAGCCUGCAUUAGAAACUGUCGGGCUUGAGUAUGGGAGAGGUGAGUGGAAUUUCCGGUGUAGCGGUGAAAUGCGUAGAUAUCGGAAGGAACACCUGUGGCGAAAGCGGCUCACUGGACCAUAACUGACGCUGAGGCGCGAAAGCUAGGGGAGCAAACAGG
Molecule: ribosomal RNA, 253 nt
Filed under: uncultured bacterium
Lineage: Bacteria
Description: partial 16S ribosomal RNA
Rfam family: Bacterial small subunit ribosomal RNA
Source: RNAcentral